Molecule: ribosomal RNA, 387 nt
Filed under: uncultured bacterium
Lineage: Bacteria
Description: bacterial SSU rRNA
Rfam family: Bacterial small subunit ribosomal RNA
Source: RNAcentral
GACGAACGCUGGCGGCGUGCUUAACACAUGCAAGUCGAGCGGUAAGGCCCUUUCGGGGUACGACGAGCGGCGAACGGGUGAGUAACACGUGGGUGACCUGCCCUCAGCUCUGGGAUAAGCCUGGGAAACUGGGUCUAAUACCGGAUAUGACUCCAUGACGCAUGUUGUGGGGUGGAAAGCCUUGUGCGGCUGAGGAUGGGCCCGCGGCCUAUCAGCUUGUUGGUGGGGUGAGGCCUACCAAGGCGACGACGGGUAGCCGGCCUGAGAGGGCGACCGGCCACACUGGGACGUGAGACACGGCCCAGACUCCUACGGGAGGCAGCAGUGGGGAAUCUUGCGCAAUGGGCGAAAGCCUGACGCAGCGACGCCGCGUGAGGGAUGACGGCC